CAGUACGCUGGUAGCUAUUGAGCCAGGGGCGGUAGCGUG
Kluyvera intermedia is the source of this 39-nucleotide non-coding RNA. The record is from Rfam. Lineage: Bacteria; Pseudomonadati; Pseudomonadota; Gammaproteobacteria; Enterobacterales; Enterobacteriaceae.